ACUGUCUUCGGUAACAUAUACGAAAAUAGAAACGAUACCGAGAAUAUUAGCAUGGCCCCUGCGCAGGGAUGACACGCAAAUUUGUGGCGCGUACCUCAAUUUU
This is a small nuclear RNA of Scophthalmus maximus (turbot), 103 nucleotides long. The record is from Ensembl. Lineage: Eukaryota; Metazoa; Chordata; Actinopteri; Pleuronectiformes; Scophthalmidae.